GAUGAACGCUGGCGGCGUGCUUAACACAUGCAAGUCGAACGGUAAAAGAGAGCUUGCUCUCUGGAUCAGUGGCGAACGGGUGAGUAACACGUGAGCAAUCUGCGCCCUACUCUGGGAUAAGCGCUGGAAACGCCGUCUAAUACCGCAUACGAGCUGCGCAGCCAUCUUCAGCGGCUGGAAAAGACUGCGGUCAGGGAUGAGCUCGCGGCCUAUCAGCUCGUUGGUGAGGUAACGGCUCACCAAGGCGUCGACGGGUAGCCGGCCUGAGAGGGUGACCGGCCACACUGGGACUGAGACACGGCCCAGACUCCUACGGGAGGCAGCAGUGGGGAAUAUUGCACAAUGGGCGAAAGCCUGAUGCAGCAACGCCGCGUGAGGGACGACGGCCUUCGGGUUGUAAACCUCUUUUAGCAGGGAAGAAGCGAAAGUGACGGUACCUGCAGAAAAAGCACCGGCUAACUACGUG
Molecule: ribosomal RNA, 466 nt
Filed under: uncultured bacterium
Lineage: Bacteria
Description: partial 16S ribosomal RNA
Rfam family: Bacterial small subunit ribosomal RNA
Source: RNAcentral